CCGGGAAAGCAUAUGUAUUUAAAGCGGCUGCCGUGCCGCGUGAGUGAUGAAGGCCUUCGGGUUGUAAAGCUCUUUUGUCCGGGAAGAUAACGACUGUACCGUACGAGAAGCCCCGGAUAGCUUCGUGCCAGCAACCGCGGUUUAUAUAGCC
This 151-nucleotide ribosomal RNA is filed under the name uncultured Allobosea sp. RNAcentral describes it as "uncultured Bosea sp. partial 16S ribosomal RNA". Lineage: Bacteria; Pseudomonadati; Pseudomonadota; Alphaproteobacteria; Hyphomicrobiales; Alloboseaceae. The record is from RNAcentral.